RNAcentral lists this small nucleolar RNA (115 nucleotides) under Leersia perrieri. RNAcentral's name for it is "snoRNA snoZ188". It matches the Rfam family "Small nucleolar RNA Z188". Rfam says of the family: Z188 is a member of the C/D class of snoRNA which contain the C (UGAUGA) and D (CUGA) box motifs. Most of the members of the box C/D family function in directing site-specific 2'-O-methylation of substrate RNAs. Lineage: Eukaryota; Viridiplantae; Streptophyta; Magnoliopsida; Poales; Poaceae. The record is from Rfam by way of RNAcentral.
GCAUGCCUGUGAUGAUUGAAGAGCAAACAAUGGUGAGUUCGAUGAAUGUGCUCGUGUACCGCUGGGUGCGGAGCUCUGGUGAUAUGCAUUCUUACGUGGUUCAUCUGAGCCACGC